UCCUUCGCAUCCCUCUUGCCACUAAACCCUUGUGGCUUCGGCACCUCCACCCUAGAUGCCCCUUGUGUGGCCAUGACCCGUGCCGACACAGCAGCCUUGUAGAUGGCCAACUCCUGCCUAACUUCCUGGUCUCGGGACUCCACUCGAGUGGCCAAGGCCUCUAUCCUUGACUCCAUGCUAGCAAGCAUGCUCAAGACCUUUCCUUGGAAGGACACAAACUCCUCGUGCGACACUAGCUGAACUUGUGAGACUAGCACCCUCUCAUGAAGGUCUUGGAUCUGCUCCCUUAGAUCCUCUAAGCCCUUCUCCAUGCCUUGCUCGAUCAAGUCCAACCCCUCCCGAGUGUCCGCCAU
RNAcentral lists this long non-coding RNA (353 nucleotides) under Vitis vinifera (wine grape). RNAcentral describes it as "long non-coding RNA (VVIN_LNC005371)". The record is from RNAcentral. Lineage: Eukaryota; Viridiplantae; Streptophyta; Magnoliopsida; Vitales; Vitaceae.